GAUGAAGAACGUAGCAAAAUGCGAUAAGUAAUGUGAAUUGCAGAAUUCAGUGAAUCAUCGAAUCUUUGAACGCACAUUGCGCCCGUCAGUAUUCUGGCGGGCAUGCCUGUUCGAGCGUCAUUACGCCCCUCAAGUCCCCUGUGGACUUGGUGUUGGGGAUCGGCGAGGCUGGUUUUCCAGCACAGCCGUCCCUUAAAUUAAUUGGCGGUCUCGCCGUGGCCCUCCUCUGCGCAGUAGUAAAACACUCGCAACAGGAGCCCGGCGCGGUCCACUGCCGUAAAACCCCCCAACUUUUUAUAGUUGACCUCGAAUCAGGUAGGACUACCCGCUGAACUUAAGCAUAUCAAUAAGCGGAGGA
Molecule: unclassified non-coding RNA, 358 nt
Filed under: soil metagenome
Description: partial contains 5.8S ribosomal RNA, internal transcribed spacer 2, and large subunit ribosomal RNA
Rfam family: 5.8S ribosomal RNA (bases 1-120)
Source: RNAcentral